Molecule: long non-coding RNA, 1043 nt
Organism: Polypterus senegalus (gray bichir)
Lineage: Eukaryota; Metazoa; Chordata; Cladistia; Polypteriformes; Polypteridae
Exons: 5
Source: RefSeq, a predicted model, not a curated record
GUUUUAAAUAGGAUUUCCCUUCUUUUGAGUUGAGCUCAUACUCAGAGGCGGGGUGACACUGCGGGCGCCUCCGCUGAGAUCAGGACAACUUGUCUCUUGGACUGUAAUUCCAGACAGAAGAGGAGUCAAAGGCUGAAGCACCCGGGAGGAUGAAGGGGGAGCAGAAAGGGGGGAGGUGGCAGUUGGAGGAUUAGUUGCUAAAAUUAAAAGAAUAAAAAAAAAAAAAUACUGCAAGAGGACAAUUCAGACCAAAUAUAAAAAUCAACAUUUAUUCAACGGAUAAAGGAAACUCAGGCCAUUGUGACUUCAAGGGGCCAUCAGUGGGACAUCCCAGCAGGGGAACAAAACCUCAGAGGGCCUCUCGGCUUCACAAGGACAAGAUGAAGAGUCCCAAGGAGAUGGAGACUGUCCUGGCAGCUUGGGGCCUGCAGCAGCAAUCACUAACUAGAUGGGGAAGCCCACCCGUUACAUUUCAGCUAACUCUGGUCCUCUCCCGGUGACGUGCGGUGACGAUCUGCCGGAUUUGUCCUGUCAGUUUAAGGAGAACCAAAUGAUUUCUUCGGUGAAGUUCCUUGACGCCGAUUUGCCUGAUCUUCACUUUCUGCACCCUUCCCUGUGUUGUCGAUUUCAUUUUAGAUGGACACAUUGGCUAUUUUCACUCCUCAAUCUACACUCGAUGACCCAUCAUGCCACAGUGAGAAUGUGCUGCAAAUGUAUGAAAAAUCAUAAAACUGAAGUCUUUCCUUCCUUAGGAGUAUUCAGACCCUUUGCUGUGCCACUCCAGACACUGCUCAGGUCCUCCCUGUUUGCUUUAAUUCCCCUCGUGUUGUGUCCAGAACUUGAUUGGAGUCCAUCUGUGGCAAACUGAAUCGUUUAGUAAACCGUACGUGGACUGGCGUGGGGAAUUGUACACAAUUGAUAUGGCACGUCAGAACAAACACCAAUCCAUGAUAUUUAAGGAACUCUGUGGACACCUUUGGUACUGUGUCUCUUCAGAGAAUCCUUGAGUAUCACUGGUCUGACUUUGUGUUGCUCAUAGGGGU